Molecule: transfer RNA, 64 nt
Filed under: Cucujoidea sp. 38 KM-2017
Lineage: Eukaryota; Metazoa; Arthropoda; Insecta; Coleoptera
Description: tRNA-Arg
Source: RNAcentral
AAAUAAGAAGCAAUAUAUUGCAUUUAAUUUCGACCUAAAAGUUAGGUUUACCAACCCUUAUUUU